AAUGAACGUUGGCGGCGUGGAUUAGGCAUGCAAGUCGUGCGAGAAGUCUUUUGCUUGCAUUAGACGGAAAGCGGCGAAAGGGAGAGUAACACGUGGGUACCUACCUCCAGGACUGGGAUAGCGGCGGGAAACUGCCGGUAAUACCAGAUAAUGUCCCCGGACCAAAGGUGUGAUUCCGCCUGAAGAUGGGCCCGCGUCCUAUUAGCUUGUUGGUGAGGUAAAGGCUCACCAAGGCGAAGAUGGGUACCGGGUGUGAGAGCAUGGCCCGGCUCACUGGGACUGAGACACUGCCCAGACACCUACGGGUGGCUGCAGUCGAGAAUCUUCCACAAUGGGCGAAAGCCUGAUGGAGCGACGCCGCGUGCGGGAUGAAGGCCUUCGGGUUGUAAACCGCUGUCAGUUGGGAGGAAAUGCUAUGGGGUUCUCUCCAUAGUUUGACCGAUCUUCAGAGGAAGCGCAGGCUAAGUUCGUG
This 472-nucleotide ribosomal RNA is filed under the name uncultured bacterium. RNAcentral's name for it is "bacterial SSU rRNA". It matches the Rfam family "Bacterial small subunit ribosomal RNA", at positions 29 to 507 of the family's 1533-position model. The record is from RNAcentral.